RNAcentral lists this ribosomal RNA (909 nucleotides) under uncultured bacterium. RNAcentral's name for it is "bacterial SSU rRNA". It matches the Rfam family "Bacterial small subunit ribosomal RNA", at positions 33 to 926 of the family's 1533-position model. The record is from RNAcentral.
ACGCUGGCGGCGUGCCUAAUACAUGCAAGUAGAACGCUGAAGGAGGAGCUUGCUUCUCUGGAUGAGUUGCGAACGGGUGAGUAACGCGUAGGUAACCUGCCUGGUAGCGGGGGAUAACUAUUGGAAACGAUAGCUAAUACCGCAUAACAGUAGAUGUUGCAUGACAUUUGCUUAAGAGGUGCAAUUGCAUCACUACCAGAUGGACCUGCGUUGUAUUAGCUAGUUGGUGGGGUAACGGCUCACCAAGGCGACGAUACAUAGCCGACCUGAGAGGGUGAUCGGCCACACUGGGACUGAGACACGGCCCAGACUCCUACGGGAGGCAGCAGUAGGGAAUCUUCGGCAAUGGACGGAAGUCUGACCGAGCAACGCCGCGUGAGUGAAGAAGGUUUUCGGAUCGUAAAGCUCUGUUGUAAGAGAAGAACGAGUGUGAGAGUGGAAAGUUCACACUGUGACGGUAUCUUACCAGAAAGGGACGGCUAACUACGUGCCAGCAGCCGCGGUAAUACGUAGGUCCCGAGCGUUGUCCGGAUUUAUUGGGCGUAAAGCGAGCGCAGGCGGUUAGAUAAGUCUGAAGUUAAAGGCUGUGGCUUAACCAUAGUACGCUUUGGAAACUGUUUAACUUGAGUGCAAGAGGGGAGAGUGGAAUUCCAUGUGUAACGGUGAAAUGCGUAGAUAUAUGGAGGAACACCGGUGGCGAAGGCGGCUCUCUGGCUUGUAACUGACGCUGAGGCUCGAAAGCGUGGGGAGCAAACAGGAUUAGAUACCCUGGUAGUCCACGCCGUAAACGAUGAGUGCUAGGUGUUAGACCCUUUCCGGGGUUUAGUGCCGUAGCUAACGCAUUAAGCACUCCGCCUGGGGAGUACGACCGCAAGGUUGAAACUCAAAGGAAUUGACGGGGGCCCGCAC